Molecule: ribosomal RNA, 229 nt
Filed under: uncultured bacterium
Lineage: Bacteria
Description: partial 16S ribosomal RNA
Rfam family: Bacterial small subunit ribosomal RNA
Source: RNAcentral
GAUCCUGGCUCAGGAUGAACGCUAGCUACAGGCUUAACACAUGCAAGUCGAGGGGCAGCAUGGUCUUAGCUUGCUAAGGCUGAUGGCGACCGGCGCACGGGUGAGUAACACGUAUCCAACCUGCCGUCUACUCUUGGCCAGCCUUCUGAAAGGAAGAUUAAUCCAGGAUGGGAUCAUGAGUUCACAUGUCCGCAUGAUUAAAGGUAUUUCCGGUAGACGAUGGGAUGCG